AUACGAAAGGUGCAAGCGUUGUUCGGAUUUACUGGGCGUAAAGAGAUCGUAGGUGGUUUAUUAAGUCGGAUGUGAAAUCCCGGGGCUCAACCUCGGAACUGCAUUCGAUACUGGUAGACUAGAGUUCGGGAGGGGUAAGCGGAAUUCCGUGUGUAGCAGUGAAAUGCGUAGACAUACGGAGGAACACCUGAGGCGAAGGCGGCUUACUGGACCGAUACUGACACUGAGACUCGAAAGCGUGGGUAGCAAACAGGAUUAGAAACCCCGGUAGUCC
This 274-nucleotide ribosomal RNA is filed under the name uncultured bacterium. RNAcentral describes it as "partial 16S ribosomal RNA". It matches the Rfam family "Bacterial small subunit ribosomal RNA", at positions 523 to 796 of the family's 1533-position model. The record is from RNAcentral.